Long non-coding RNA from Limulus polyphemus (Atlantic horseshoe crab), 1095 nucleotides. RefSeq lists it as uncharacterized. The record is from RefSeq and is a predicted model, not a curated record. The transcript has 2 exons. Lineage: Eukaryota; Metazoa; Arthropoda; Merostomata; Xiphosura; Limulidae.
AUUAUUUAAGAUAAGCCUUAAAACUAAUGGGAGAGUUUUAUUCUGUAACAUUGAUAGAAUAGUUUUCUGCGAGUCAACGAAAAUAAAGUAAACUACACUAGUGAUCCAAUCACCAUGGUGAAGUUUGCCAAAACCAGUCCACUGAAAGCUCUGCUCUUCUAUAGUAUCUUAAUGAUCACCUUGCCAGUUGCAGCUUUCUUCUGUACGCAGGUUUUAAUAUUUCAACUCUUUGGGAUUCCUCCAGGUGAAGGAUAUCUAUAUGCCACGGCUGUCAGUGUCAUCGUCAUCCAUGUCAUUCUAGGCCUCUUUGUGUAUGAAGCAUUUACUGAAGAUGAUAGGACUUCAGUAGUAAUUCAGAAGGAAGAUUAAACUUUUCUAUAGAACUGAGGUUAUGGAAAGAUGAGACGUAGUAAGUUAUGCAAUUUGGAACUGCUCUGUAACAAGCAAGUUUUACCUUGAAACAUCGGACUAUAAAAACUUGAAAUAUUUUGAGAAUGAUGAUUUAUUUGAUUAAACAUUUGAUGUACAUGUAAUUGUGCAAGGUGUGUAUCUGGUUGUGUAAUUUUUAAAACCCCAUUAUCCAUCUGUUUAACCCCAAGUUUAACAGCAUUCCUGGUGUAUCUCGACAACUUGAUAAAGUGGUGAUUUAUAAAGCUAGCACAAAUUGUUGAACAAUCUGUUAAAAAUAGUUUUUUUUUCACAUUGUUGAACAAUCUGUUAAAAAUGGUGUUUGUUUUUUCAGUGAUUUUUUUGAAAUGCUUUGUAAAGUACUCACUAUAGUGUGAAAAUUUUAUACUUUUCUAAAAGUAUUUCUCAGAAUGUUGAAACGGACUAUUGACUAAUUAUUAUUACCUUAGACGUGCGUAGGUUAUGAAAAACCUCUAAUCUAAUUUACAGGUCUUUGUACUUUCUUGUUUUUGUCUGUAACGAGGGAAGAGGACAAUAUGCAUAUGAUUUGUCAUAUGCUUAAAAAUAGAUAUAAUGAUAUAGGUGCAAGUUAACACUAUACCAGGUUGUAUUUUAUUACAGUACUGUCCAAUGUACAUGUACAUUAUUGUACAUAUUCCAAUAAAUUAUGUAAGCAUUAUAGUUUUA